UAAUAGCGUAUAUUAAAGUUGUUGCAGUUAAAAAGCUCGUAGUUGAAUGUUGGUGCCGCCCGAGUGACCGGCUUCGGUCGUGUCGCGUGGGUGGCUCCUUCCUUCUGUGGACAGCGCCACUCUUUACUGAGGGGCGUGUGGUCGCAGAUCUUUUACUGUGAAAAAAUUAGAGUGUUCAAAGCAGGCCAUUCGCUUGAAUACAUUAGCAUGGAAUAAUGGAAUAGGACGUCGGGCCUAUUUUGUUGGUUCUAGGACCGUCGUAAUGAUUAAUAGGGACAGUUGGGGCCGUUCAUAUUCCGUAGUCAGAGGUGAAAUUCUUGGAUUUACGGAAGAUGAACUACUGCGAAAGCAUUCGGCAAGGAUGUUUNCGUUAA
This 374-nucleotide ribosomal RNA is filed under the name uncultured eukaryote. RNAcentral describes it as "partial 18S ribosomal RNA". It matches the Rfam family "Eukaryotic small subunit ribosomal RNA", at positions 592 to 976 of the family's 1831-position model. The record is from RNAcentral.